CAUUUAUCCCUGCACAAGCCAAGAAGGAACCUAACCCCAUUUUUUAAAAAUUUUCCCACUUGGGUAAGCCAAACAAGACUCCAUGCCUCCAGGAUGACAGAUCAUUUGGAACCUAUCCUGUCAUUACUGACAUCAGGCACAGGAAGUGCAUAACCAUACCUCUUCAGUGAUUACCCAUACAAGCAAAAGGAAGUUUGUACAACAUGGAUUUUUAUGACACCUUGUCUGAAUUGUAGCCACUUGUGCCCCCAAAAUAUCUAUCCUGAGGUCUGGG
Molecule: long non-coding RNA, 274 nt
Organism: Hemicordylus capensis (graceful crag lizard)
Lineage: Eukaryota; Metazoa; Chordata; Lepidosauria; Squamata; Cordylidae
Exons: 3
Source: RefSeq, a predicted model, not a curated record